CUCAAAUUUGAAAUCUGGCACCUUCGGUGUCCGAGUUGUAAUUUGAAGAAGGUAACUUUGGAGUUGGCUCUUGUCUAUGUUCCUUGGAACAGGACGUCACAGAGGGUGAGAAUCCCGUGCGAUGAGAUGUCCAACUCUAUGUAAAGUGCUUUCGAAGAGUCGAGUUGUUUGGGAAUGCAGCUCUAAGUGGGUGGUAAAUUCCAUCUAAAGCUAAAUAUUGGCGAGAGACCGAUAGCGAACAAGUACAGUGAUGGAAAGAUGAAAAGAACUUUGAAAAGAGAGUGAAAAAGUACGUGAAAUUGUUGAAAGGGAAGGGUUUGAGAUCAGACUUGGUAUUUUGUAUGUCUUGCUUUCGGGUGGGGCCUCUGCAGUUUACUGGGCCAGCAUCGGUUUGGACGGUAGGAUAAUGACAUUGGAAUGUGGCACUACUUCGGUGGUGUGUUAUAGACUUUGUUGAUACUGCCUGUCUAGACCGAGGACUGCGUCUUUGACUAGGAUGCUGGCAUAAUGAUCCUAAACCG
Molecule: ribosomal RNA, 521 nt
Filed under: Scheffersomyces shehatae
Lineage: Eukaryota; Fungi; Ascomycota; Pichiomycetes; Serinales; Debaryomycetaceae
Description: eukaryotic LSU rRNA
Rfam family: Eukaryotic large subunit ribosomal RNA
Source: RNAcentral